Molecule: ribosomal RNA, 447 nt
Filed under: uncultured bacterium
Lineage: Bacteria
Description: SSU rRNA
Rfam family: Bacterial small subunit ribosomal RNA
Source: RNAcentral
AGAGCGAACGCUGGCGGCAGGCCUAAUACAUGCAAGUCGAACGGACCCUUCGGGGUUAGUGGCGGACGGGUGAGUAACACGUGGGAACGUGCCCUUUGGUUCGGAACAACUCAGGGAAACUUGAGCUAAUACCGGAUGUGCCCUUCGGGGGAAAGAUUUAUCGCCAUUGGAGCGGCCCGCGUCUGAUUAGCUAGUUGGUGGGGUAAAGGCCCACCAAGGCUACGAUCAGUAGCUGGUCUGAGAGGAUGAUCAGCCACACUGGGACUGAGACACGGCCCAGACUCCUACGGGAGGCAGCAGUAGGGAAUCUUGCGCAAUGGGCGAAAGCCUGACGCAGCCAUGCCGCGUGAAUGAUGAAGGUCUUAGGAUUGUAAAAUUCUUUCAGCGGGGACGAUAAUGACGGUACCCGCAGAAGAAGCCCCGGACUAACUUCGCGCCAGCAGCCGC